GGGGUCGCAGUCGAGUCUCGCUGGCUCCCGCGCGAAACUCUGAGGGGACCGACUCUUUCUCGCCGGAGCGUGGCCUCAGCCACGUUGGUCCCCUCAGGCUCCUUCGUGUCCUUUCCCUGGGGCAACGCGAGGCGACGCGGGCCGGGACCGGCAGCCUUUCUGGUCCCAGGGACCCUCCCCAUCCUCUAACGUCUGAGCAGCCUGUACCCUGCGUGCAAUGUCUCAGUUUGCAGAAAUAAUAAAAGCACAUCAUCAACAGCUCAUGCAUUGCCUUCAUGUGGGCCCAGAGUACAAGCACAGAUGAAGAGCAGACACUGACUUCACACUUCUGACAGGUCACAGUUUGCUAAAAUAAUAAAAGGGCGUGAUCAAUAGCUCGUACAUUGCCUUGGUGUGGACCCAGAGUGCUAGCACAGAGGAAGAGCAGACACUGACUUCACACUUCUGAUAGGAACCAGUUUGGUAAUAAAAUCAAGGCAUGUGAUCAACAGCUUGUACAUUAUCUUGGUGUGGACCCAGAGAGCAAGCACAGACGAAGAGCAGACACUGACCUCACACUUCUGAUAGGUCUUCCUCAGUAGGAUCCACAGAAAGGGACCGAUGCCAUGCUCCAAAAGCUUCCACUUGAUGGCACUCUUGAGCCAGAAAUGUCAACUACCUUCUGGAGCUGGGCCUCUCCCUCCACCCUUUGUGUAUCAAAAAAGGCCCAUGGUGGCCAAAGAACCUUCCAAACCCUCCAAACUAUGUUAGCUCCAGUGGAGUGUUGGGGGAAGAGGUGUAGUCAGAAAAUCAAAGGGCGUGAUCAACAGCUCAUUUAGCCUUUUUGUGUUCCCAAAGCACAAACAGAGACGAAGAGCAGACACUGACUUCACACUUCUGAUGGUUCACAGUUUGGUAAGAAAGUCAGAGGUCGUGAUCAACCGCUCAUACAUUGCCUUGGUGUGGACCCAGAGUGCAAGAACAGAAAAAGAACAGACACUGACUUCACACUUCUGAUAAGUAUGUAAUACAGGCCUCAGUUGUGCUUUGAUUCUGUUUCCCCCUUCUGUACAGUAGGCUCCUCUCUCAAGGCAAGUGUCUCACCAAAUUUCCUCGGGUUAUUCUCUGGUUAGUAGUGUGUUCAGGUAUUUGUUGUUUUUGUUCAGUAGGUCAGUCAUGUCUGCCUCUCUGCAACCCCACCGACUGCAGCAUGCCAGGCUUCCCUGGCCAUCAGCAACUCCUGGAGCUUGCUCAAACUCAUGUCCAUUGAGUUGGUGAUGCCAUCCUAACAUCUCAUCCUCUGUGGUCCCAUUUUCUGCCUGCUUUCAAUCUUUCAGGUAUACUUAGUUACUAUAGUUGUUCAUCGUAGUGAUGAGAAGAGUUCUGCUUGUGCGAUUCACAUAUCAACCUAUUUGUAAGUUCCAACACCCCUGAACUCAGUUUAAAACUCAAGCCCAGAAAGGCCAUUAGUUUACUGGGUCCGAUUUCACACAUCUGAUAGGUAUGCAACAGAACUCCCGUGUGUACUUUGUGUUUUACUCCUUUCCCUUUUACAAAGAUGAGUUUCCUAAGUGUUUUAAACAAAUUUAUACUGGUGCCAUGGAGAUGCGUUAUUAAUGCUAUUAGUAAGCAAAGGCUUUGACUGUGUGGAUCACAAUAAACUGGAAAAUUCUGAAAGAGAUGGGAAUACCAGACCACCUGACCUGCCUCUUGAGAAACCUGUAUGCAGGUCAGGAAGCAACAGUUAGA
This is a long non-coding RNA of Cervus elaphus (red deer), 1728 nucleotides long. RefSeq lists it as uncharacterized. The record is from RefSeq and is a predicted model, not a curated record. NCBI's taxonomy places the organism in Eukaryota, Metazoa, Chordata, Mammalia, Artiodactyla, Cervidae. The transcript has 7 exons.